This is a long non-coding RNA of Esox lucius (northern pike), 3727 nucleotides long. Lineage: Eukaryota; Metazoa; Chordata; Actinopteri; Esociformes; Esocidae. The record is from Ensembl.
UGUUGUGACAUCAGCACCACUAAUCAGCAUAUGUGCCUUUAACGCUGCACAAUUCAAACCGCGCCAAACAUGGCAGACAGUAACGUUAGUCGAGCUCCACAAAUAGUAUCGUUUGGAUACAAGGACUUUGAACUGGACCGAGUGAAUAAAAAAAGAUUUGCCAGACGCAAAAUAUGCAACAACGUCAAAUUUCAUUCGUCAUUUUAAGAACCACAAGGAAAGGUAAGAAAGUAAUCUCUUUAUAUUCAGUUUCACUAAGAUCUAUAACGAUUAAGUUACUAACCCAGAUAGCAAAAAAUAUCCCCAUGGCUUCUGUUUGCCGCCGGCCCUAAGCAGUCGGCUAUAGGUGCGUCCUGCUGGCGGGGAUGAAACGUUUGCCGCCGAUUACGUCACUCCCAUUUCUUGCAAGAUUUCUUGACUGCUUAAUUUUCUCUGGCGGUUGCCUGGGUCUAAAGGACCGCGGUCGUCCGGCGGCAAGACGCUUUUAAAUACAAGGCUACUCUCAAAAUCGACCGGCCAUGUUGGUUUGGACACUCAUUUGCAUCAGUUUGUCGCUCAAUCGCGAGUUACAGCCUGCAGUUUGCUAGCUAGCAAAGUCAUCGACUACCAUCGUUUAAGUAAGUACAUGUUUCCUUUUUGUGUAACGCAAUAUUAUGUUUACAUUGUUUUUAGUUUAUAUAUUGAAAAUGUGUAGUCAUCUUUGUUCUUGCCUAACUAGCUACGCAAUUGUUCUUGCCUUGUUUACGCAAUGUUGUUAGUACAUGUAGAAUUUUAAUGAGCUAUAAUAGGUAGCAAAAGCUUUACAUCUAGAAAGACUAAGUUUACCUUUUAGUGUUUUCUUACAAAAAUAACGAUGUAUUUAUGUUUUUUAAAUUAUUUUGUUUGCCUGCACAAGUAUGCUGCUAGUCCAGUAGCUAGAGUGGCUAGUAAGUGUUAGCUAGCACAUGCUGUUUUGCCUUUGUUACAGUACACACUGUGGUUAGCAAGUUUUGUGCUGUGUUGCUACUGUACUGGAUUUAAGGCGAUUAUGGUUUCUAAUUCUCUGAACUGCUGUACUUUUUAUGUUUGAGGAAAAUUCUGUGUUCACUUGAAUCACAACACUCGGUGAAUACAUUUUAUUUUUAACAAUUUCACUGUUCCACAUUUGGCUGAUAAUGUUUCCCCCCCACAGCAUAGUUACUGUAUAUUCCUAACGUUAACAAUCCGGUUUUGUUUCUGUUUUCUUGCAGAUACCUUGGCCAGAGCAUAACCGGUUAUCUUCACCCAAGUGACCUAUUGUUGGUCAAUCGUUUUGGUUUUAAAGAAGUUGCAUCGAUUCCAGAAAACCAGGAAAAUGUUGAGCCAUCUGUAGACUUCAGAGCUGAACCAGGUUUCUCCCCAGUAAUCCAGACUCCACUUCACAGAGCCAAGAGUUUGAGUACAACUCGUCAAGUACUAAGCUUUACACCCCCAGCAGCAAAUUUACCCUGGCAGCAUAUGGGUGUAAACGCUGGAGAGGAGAAAGUCAUCGCUUUGUUAUUGGCCCUUGGACGCCCCUGGCAUCUCGUGUACAGCACAAAGUUUUCAGCUAUGAAGAUUUCCAGUGACUCCAGAAUGAAAACCAAGCUCUGAGGGAGGAGAACCAAGCCCUGAGGGAAUGCAAUGCACAAGCGAGAAUGUGCACUCUUUCUUAAAUUGUACUUUUUUGUGUGUAAUGUAGGUUCAGAAUUACCAUAUGCCUUUGAUUUAGUAGCUUCGGGUUGACAGCGGCUCACUUCAAGAGCAGGUGAAGCAAGUAGGGACAAUGUUGAAGACGUUUGCUCUAACUGGGCAAUCAGGUGCGUUACCUGAAAGGAGCAUCUGACCGUGAAGGCAGAAAAAGCCGCACAGCUGAGAGGGACCCACAGCCGACCCCUUAAACCUAGGCUAACUACUGACACCCCAGCAUCACUGAACUGGAACACUUUCUUUAUCCUGCAGUCAGUAACAUCAAGAAGCCAGAAGUGCCAGACUACACUCACCAAAUCCACCCUUUUUUUUUUUUUUGUAUUUUAACUUUAGUAUUGGCUUAUUUCAUUCCGUCUUAACGAUUCUAUUAUAGUUUGUAAAUCCUAUUUCUUACCUGUUACUUGAUAUUGCACAUUAACUAGUACUAAAAUUCUACCUUCAUUUCAUCAGUGUGCUUAACUGUUAUUCCAUUAAUAAUAGCUUGGAAAUACUAUUUACUACCUCUGAUACUUGAUAUUGCACAUUACCUGGUACCAAAUAUUCUACUUACUCUGUUUUUAACAUCAGCGUUUUUCAUUCCAUCACAGUGCUUAACUGUUAUUCUAUUGUUAAAUAUAGCUUGUAAAUCCUUGUGCCACAGGUCAGCAUUGCAGUUAUAAUGGUCUGUUCUACUACUGUUUUUACCUCUGUAUUUUUAUAUAAAUAUAUAUGUCAAGUUUUGUUUAUCACAGAUACAAGAGAUACAGAUCUUAUUGCAGCACGGUGUAAAUCUUGUGCUCCAGGUCAGCAAUGCUAUUAUAACGGUCUAUUCUACUCUAGAGCUUUACUCUAAAUUAUUACCACUUUUCCUAUUGUUAGAAAUGGCUUGAAAAUGUGAUGUUAUACCUUGAUUUAUUUGGUAUCCUGCACAUUCUUUGGUACCAAAUAUCCUCAUUACUUAUGUUUACUGGUAAUUAUUUUCAUCCCAUAGCACGUCAGAAACAGAGGACAGUGUGUGUGUGUGUGUGUGUGUGUGUGUGUGUGUGUGUUCAUCUCUUUAGUACUGUGACUUGAAACUUAUUAUGACUCAACUUGACUUGCUUAGGGUGAACACUUGACUUGCUUGAUUUAUCUGAACUGUGCCUUGAGACUUGACUCGAGACUUGAUGGUUAAGACUUGAGACUUGCUUGGACUUGACCAUGUGUGACUUGUCCCCAUCUCUGUAAAUCGCUCAAUUCUUAUGAUUAUUCCUAGGAAGUGAGUAGAUACUAGUAAGCCUAUUACUGGCUAAAAGCUGUUAAAACAGCCAGUGCCAAAAGCAAUAAUGAAUGUCAUUCAUAAAUGAACGAAAAAGGUAUGUUGUUUUGCCAUGAAAGAAAAAAAUAUGUUCUUAUGCCAUGAAAUUAAAUAGCUUUGUCAGACUUGCUAACAAUUGCUCCAUUCUUAUGACUAUUCCAGUAAGUUAUUCCUUUCACCUGUGUUUACCCCCCACCGGUUUCUGUUCUCCUUAUUAGCCUGUGUAUUUAGUUCAGCCAUUUUCUCCCUGUCCCUGUCGGUCAUUGUGCGUGUCAUGUUUUAUGUGUUCCUGAACUCCUGACUCCUGAAGUAUUUCGUAGUGGCCGGCACUCCGUUUUGAUUUCUUUGCUUUUGUUUAUUUAAAAGAAAUGCCUCAAUUCUGUGCCUGCCUUCGUCUCCCUCUAUGAAUCGUGACACCGGUAAAGCUUAUUACUGGCUAAUACGCUGUUCAAAUGGCCAUUUGCAAAUGCAAUACAUAGUAAGAAACGUUAGUCAGUUUAACUGUAUCAAUGUCACAGAAUUGUGCAUAAUCCUUUACGGCAGAGCUGUGUGUCCUGACAUGUGUGUAUACCAAUACUUAGUUUGUGUCAGUAUAACGCUGAGUGUCGUGCAGGUGUAGUUUUGGCCAAUGAAAGAAACAAUCAGUUCAGUAGAUUUGUAGUAUCUUUUCAAAUAAAUGUUGAAUCAGUAUGAUUCAUGCUAGAAUGCAUAAAAUAAACAUUGUUAUAACGAUUUUCAUGUAUG